RNAcentral lists this ribosomal RNA (253 nucleotides) under uncultured bacterium. Its description in RNAcentral is "partial 16S ribosomal RNA". It matches the Rfam family "Bacterial small subunit ribosomal RNA", at positions 524 to 776 of the family's 1533-position model. The record is from RNAcentral.
UACGUAGGGCGCAAGCGUUGUCCGGAAUUAUUGGGCGUAAAGAGCUCGUAGGCGGUUUGUCGCGUCUGCUGUGAAAACUCGGGGCUUAACCCCGGGCCUGCAGUGGGUACGGGCAGACUAGAGUGCGGUAGGGGAGACUGGAAUUCCUGGUGUAGCGGUGAAAUGCGCAGAUAUCAGGAGGAACACCGGUGGCGAAGGCGGCAUCCUGGACCGGCAUUGACGCUGAGGAGCGAAAGCUAGGGGAGCAAACGGG